AAUGAGUGGGUUAGACCAAGCACACUGAACAGCCCACAUCAUGAGCAGACUGGUUUUGGUCUUCCUAAUGCUCCUGCACUUGUCAGCAGUCAUGACUGAAAGACAGCAUUAUCCAGCGAGAAUUAAUUGCAGAGGAUAUUUUCAAGGCAAAUGUAAACCAGAGUGCAAACCCACAGAAGAAGAUCUUGGAAGUCAAGAUUGCAAAGAAGGGUAUCAUUGCUGUGCUCCUCCCAAAGAGAAAUCAGUGAAUCCUGCAAGAUGAAAAUGCUUGGAGUUCACACCCUCACCCUGCUAUUAAUGGCAUUGUUGUGUUUAGACUUUAUAAAAUAAAAAAAAGAAAAAUAACAUAAAUGGUCAGUUUUGAA
This is a long non-coding RNA of Polypterus senegalus (gray bichir), 365 nucleotides long. RefSeq lists it as uncharacterized. The record is from RefSeq and is a predicted model, not a curated record. NCBI's taxonomy places the organism in Eukaryota, Metazoa, Chordata, Cladistia, Polypteriformes, Polypteridae. The transcript has 3 exons.